GUAAAAAUUAGGGGAUCAAUUGCGAAAAUGGUCCAUUUUGAAGAAAUAAAUGGAUGCUGCCGUUUUUCAAAUCAAAUAAACCCCUUUUCUCAAAUCCUAAAAAAUAAUUUCCCUCUGCCAUUCCCAAAAUGUGCCGCAGCAGCACCUCUGCUCUCCAUCAUUUUCGACCCACUUUGCUCCGACAACCGCGAAACGAAAGGGUUUUCCAACGCCGCCGCGACGAAACACUAGAGGAGACGUGUAUAACGUCUGAGGCUACUGAACGCGAGAGAAGCGACGUGGGGCAACAUUCGCGGAGGCAUGCGAGGGAGUCGUGCAGCACGUCCUAGGGUUUCUGCCUCAUUUGCCAAAAACAUCUUGUGGGACAAUUGGGCCAAUUUCUGCUGUUUGGGCUAAGCUAUUGGGCCGAUUGGGUUAUUUGUAAAAAUAGACUGUUUAUUGUAUUUGUUAUUUUAAGGUUUAUACAUUUGGGCCCGGGCUAAAAUGGCCUAUUACAGCAUCAUCAUUUGAUCCUAAAACAGUCUUUUACUCUCAAUAACUUACCCGGAAAGUAA
Molecule: long non-coding RNA, 554 nt
Organism: Gossypium raimondii (Peruvian cotton)
Lineage: Eukaryota; Viridiplantae; Streptophyta; Magnoliopsida; Malvales; Malvaceae
Exons: 2
Source: RefSeq, a predicted model, not a curated record